AUUGAACGCUGGCGGCAGGCCUAACACAUGCAAGUCGAGCGGAUGAAGGGAGCUUGCUCCUGGAUUCAGCGGCGGACGGGUGAGUAAUGCCUAGGAAUCUGCCUGGUAGUGGGGGAUAACGUCCGGAAACGGGCGCUAAUACCGCAUACGUCCUGAGGGAGAAAGUGGGGGAUCUUCGGACCUCACGCUAUCAGAUGAGCCUAGGUGGGAUUAGCUAGUUGGUGGGGUAAAGGCCUACCAAGGCGACGAUCCGUAACUGGUCUGAGAGGAUGAUCAGUCACACUGGAACUGAGACACGGCCCAGACUCCUACGGGAGGCAGCAGUGGGGAAUAUUGGACAAGGGGCGAAAGCCUGAUCCAGCCAUGCCGCGUGUGUGAAGAAGGUCUUCGGAUUGUAAAGCACUUUAAGUUGGGAGGAAGGGCAGUAAGUUAAUACCUUGCUGUUUUGACGUUACCAACAGAAUAAGCACCGGCUAACUUCGUG
RNAcentral lists this ribosomal RNA (484 nucleotides) under uncultured bacterium. Its description in RNAcentral is "partial 16S ribosomal RNA". It matches the Rfam family "Bacterial small subunit ribosomal RNA", at positions 30 to 507 of the family's 1533-position model. The record is from RNAcentral.